CCGAAGAAGUCCACAACGGCCACGCCCCUCCUGGAGACUGGAGCCAUCGUCAUCGACGGCAGCACAAGCGCGCCGCCCCGCGCCGACGCCUAACCAGGAGUCCCGCCGUCCCGGGCGAGCAGCCUUCGACCCGUGGAUCCCACCAAAAAGUACGUCCAAGUGCCUCCCGCGGCGCCGCCCUCCCAAAGGCGUCGCCGCACGAGGCACCCCCGGCCCCGGCCGGCGGCAAAGUGAGGUGAGGUAUACUGAGAUGUUCUUAACUGCAGAGGAUGCAUUUGAGCAGGUUAGAGAAGAUGAGCUGCUGCAUCCUACUGUGUCCAGAUGAGCUUAUUUUACGACAAAUAAGUGAGGGCAAAGAUGAUCCUAUUUUGGGACAGAGCAAGUAUUUUAUAUCUCCAGUUAUCAAUCAGUGGUUCGGAUAUUAUUGAUUUGAGGAAAGGCUAUGUGAGGCAUGCUGCUUGUGAUGGGACACAUAUUAAGCUUAUACUCCACUACGACCCUUUUACACGUGCCAAGGUGUGGUCUGUGAUUGCGGACUGAUACUUUCGUGGCAUUCACACAUCUUAUAUGACGCAAAGAGUCAGGAAGCAAUGGAUUGCAUUUUUGAAGCCAUGCCUCCAGCCCACUACUACCAAAGCCACCACCGUCGCUCACCAACCCUACGGCGAAGCUCUUUCAAAGGCCCUGCAAAUGCAGUCUCUGCUCCAUUGUUCACCGGACAAGAGAACAGAGUGUAACAAGACAAGUGGUGCACUGAGUACCUCUGUCCCAAUUUGAUUGUAUUUGUAAAUUUUCAUGUCUAAUAUUUG
Molecule: long non-coding RNA, 809 nt
Organism: Oryza brachyantha (malo sina)
Lineage: Eukaryota; Viridiplantae; Streptophyta; Magnoliopsida; Poales; Poaceae
Exons: 5
Source: RefSeq, a predicted model, not a curated record